This 253-nucleotide ribosomal RNA is filed under the name uncultured bacterium. RNAcentral describes it as "partial 16S ribosomal RNA". It matches the Rfam family "Bacterial small subunit ribosomal RNA", at positions 524 to 776 of the family's 1533-position model. The record is from RNAcentral.
UACGGAGGGUGCAAGCGUUAUCCGGAUUUACUGGGUUUAAAGGGUGCGUAGGUGGGUUGGUAAGUCAGUGGUGAAAUACUUUCGCUUAACGAAGGAACUGCCAUUGAUACUACCAGUCUUGAAUGUAGUGGAGGUAGGCGGAAUGCGUCAUGUAGCGGUGAAAUGCUUAGAUAUGACGCAGAACACCAAUUGCGAAGGCAGCUUGCUACACUACUAUUGACACUGAGGCACGAAAGCGUGGGGAUCAAACAGG